Molecule: ribosomal RNA, 468 nt
Filed under: uncultured bacterium
Lineage: Bacteria
Description: partial 16S ribosomal RNA
Rfam family: Bacterial small subunit ribosomal RNA
Source: RNAcentral
GACGAACGCUGGCGGCGUGCUUAACACAUGCAAGUCGAACGGAAAGGCACUGCUUUUGUGGGGUGCUCGAGUGGCGAACGGGUGAGUAACACGUGAGUAACCUGCCCGUUACUUUGGGAUAACUUCAGGAAACUUGGGCUAAUACCGCAUAACAGCACCUACUGCAUGGUGACGGUUGGAAAGUUUCGGCGGCUGCGGUAGGACUCGCGGCUGCGCAGCAUGAUGGUGGGGUAGUGGCGUACCAAGGCGUUGACGAGUAGCCGGACUGAGAGGGUGACAGGCCACAGUGUGACUGGGGUAGCGGCAGGACGGCUACGGGAGGCAUCGGUGGGAGAUAGUGCGAGAUGGGCGGAGGGAGUAUGCAGCAACGCCGGGUGGUGGAUGACGGUCGUCAGGGUAGAAACAGCGUGAGCCUGUGAAGAAGAGUGAGUGACGGUAACGGGUAAGGAAGCACCGGCUAACUACGUG